AUAAAUUAAAAUCGAUGUUUAUUAAUAAAAUAAAAUCCAGGACAAACGACGAAAUUAACGAGCGUCGGAUAAGUGAGAAUAAAAUAUAAAAAGAGAUUAAAAGAAAUAAAAUAGAAAAAUAAAUGUGUAUCAAAUCCUGAACAUGCCACACGCAUGUAUUGAACCCAUUACUAGGGAGGAAAUGAAUUAGCUUUACACCCACCCGACCAUGAGCUAUCAGCUGUUAAGCUACUAGCAACUAA
Molecule: long non-coding RNA, 242 nt
Filed under: Lathyrus oleraceus (garden pea)
Lineage: Eukaryota; Viridiplantae; Streptophyta; Magnoliopsida; Fabales; Fabaceae
Description: Pisum sativum (pea) long non-coding RNA (PSAT_LNC018502)
Source: RNAcentral